UUCUUUUUUUUUUGAGCUGGGGACCGAACCCAGGGCCUUGCGCUUCCUAGGUAAGCGCUCUACCACUGAGCUAAAUCCCCAGCCCAACUUUUAGUAUUUCAAAGCCAGCUUUAAUUUGGAACAGCAACACCAUCCAUAAAAUCCAGAACAAGUUCUCUUGUUAGGAACUUUCCAUAUGUUAUGAUUUGGUCACAAGUUGAUAGUUGUUACAUAUCAGUUUCCAUUUCUCCAUUAGAAAAUUAGGUAAUUGAUGGAUUCUUUGAACAGAAGCAUCACUACUUAUUAAAAAGUUAGAUAUAUAUAGAAUGCUUUUAAGGCAAAAUCCAGGUUUUCUAGGUUAUUUUUAUCCACAUUUAUUGAUUAAAUAGGGAAGGAAUUUUAUUCAAAGCUUUAAAUACUAGUCAGUUGACAUUUUUUUUAAAAAAAUAUCUGUUGUAAUUAUAAAAACACUAGAGAUCUUUUUGCUAGUUAGAUGAUUGCUUUCAUGUACACAUCUAAAGCUACUAUAUAGUACAUUUAUUCAUUGCAUUUAUUAAUCUUGUUACUAGCAAGUCUGACAGCUUGGAAAGAGGGGUAUUUUUGUUUGUUUGUUUGUUUGUUUUUAAAGUAGACUUGAGCUGGUGACUUAUGCUGCACAUGGUCUGUACAAGUGCUGCUUAAAGUUUCACAUGUUCAGACCCCUGUUUUUCAGAGGCACGGAUUAGUCCAUGUAGACAUGGCCCCUUUGAGAUUGUAGCAUAUGCCCACUUAAGUUAGUAUGCUUAAACUUUAAAAUAUCUUAGUUCUUGUCUUAAUAGUAACAUCUUUACAGAUUUCCAGCAACAUUUUGUAGGAAACACCUGCUCCUCAAAGCACAAGUUUUACUUAUUUGAGUCAUUGUAACCAGAAAACAUAGCAGCAUUUAUUUUAUUGCAGAUUUUCAGAGUAGGCUUAAUAUGAAGAAGUUGUUUAAUUAGUUCUGUCUGGUACCUGUGAAUUUCCUUUCAGGAUCACUAUGUCAAGAGCUAAACGUAAACUUUCUGUUUGUUGAAAAUAACAAUUUAGUUUCAUGUACAUUUCCUAAAGGAUAAAAGCAAUCAAGUGGGAACCCCUUUAUAUGUUUCUUGGUUUCCCUUUUUCAUUAUCCUAAGAUAAUGCUACUUUAAGAUUUUUGAAUGUUUUAGAUAUCAUGUGAGGUUUUUAUUUGAUAAACCUGCUGAGUCAUUUGCUAGGAAUCUAAAUGACAAAGUUGGGGAAGUUAGUAUAGUAAUUUCAAGAGUGGAUAAAAUGGCUUGAAUGCUAUUAAAUGCAAAUGGUACCAGUUGAAGGUUUUGGGACAUUUCCAGCUUGGAUUAAAGGGAGGGUAUAGUUAUUAGUGGGAUACUGUUUGGGGUGCUGUGAGAUCUUAAAUGUACCGGCAGGUUCAAUAGUUCAUUUUAUUCAGUUCAAGAUAACGUCAUUUGCAGAGUUAUGAAUGUAUUUGGUUUAUUUUUGGUAUGGGUUUGGAGAGAUGAUUGAGCAUUCCUCCUGAUUGUUAUUUUUAUAAUUACUGGAGAUGACUGAUGAAAUAGAAAAAAAAUGUUAUACUGAGUUUGCAAGUGAAGUGUAAGUAUUCUGUGUUGAAAUUUAAAAAAAAAUGUCUUAAGAGCAUUAUUAGCAGGUGGAAGAAACCAGGUAUUAAAAUUUAAAAAUGUGAAGCUGCACGAACCUUACUUAAUGUUGACUUUAAAGGUAAGAAAAGACAUUGUAGGCAUAUCUGUGGACAAGCUGUCAGACAUUGAGCUAACUGGUAUAGUAUCCCAAUGAUACAUGACUUUUGUUUCCCUUACCCUACUACCUUGGUGUGCUGGGUUUCCAUCCACAGCUUUGUUCAUGCUGGGCAAGAUGCUUAGCUAUAACCACAGUAAAGGAAAAGUCCAGGAAAUAUAUUCUACCCCUAACCUUUGUAAUUGUAGAGAAAUUAUUAUGUAAAUAUUAAAUGAAAGUCAUAUCCCAUGUUAUCUAAAAAGACCAGAAGCCAGACUGCUAGUAUGGCUUGAUGAAUAUGUCUACUAGCAAGAAAGUAUUAACCUUACUGAGCAGCCUCAGUAAUUGAUCUGCAAUGGCAAAACCAGUGUCAGGUGACUUGUGGGCUUUUGUUUUAGUUUUUGUUUUUAAGGUUGACUUGAAGUGCUAGGGAUUUGUGUGUCCUGGACACAUGUUCUGUCAUCAAACAUUCUUCAUUUUAAAUUGUUGGGUUUUCUUGGGAUAAGUGGCUGCUUAAGUGUAAGUAGGUUUUGCUAGCUAUGUCUUGAUUGUCUUCAGGCCGGAAUGUAAGAGCUCCUUUAAAAAUAAAGAUUUAUUUACCUCUA
This 2330-nucleotide long non-coding RNA is filed under the name Rattus norvegicus (Norway rat). RNAcentral describes it as "long non-coding RNA NONRATT020537". Lineage: Eukaryota; Metazoa; Chordata; Mammalia; Rodentia; Muridae. The record is from RNAcentral.